This 499-nucleotide ribosomal RNA is filed under the name uncultured bacterium. Its description in RNAcentral is "bacterial SSU rRNA". It matches the Rfam family "Bacterial small subunit ribosomal RNA", at positions 8 to 526 of the family's 1533-position model. The record is from RNAcentral.
AGAGUUUGAUCAUGGCUCAGGAUCAACGCUGGCGGCGUGCCUAAUGCAUGCAAGUCGUGCGGGAUGCCUUCGGGCAAACCCGCGGCGGACGGGUGCGGAACACGUGGGCAACCUGCCCUGGGGCGGGGGAUAUCCCUUGGAAACAGGGGGUAAUUCCGCAUACGCUCGGUCCCCGAGUCGGGGGAUCGAGGAAAGGCGCAAGCCACCCCUGGAGGGGCCUGCGGCCGAUUAGCUAGACGGCGGGGUAACGGCCCACCGUGGCUGUGAUCGGUAGCUGGUCUGAGAGGACGGCCAGCCACACGGGGACUGAGACACGGCCCCGACUCCUACGGGAGGCAGCAGCAAGGAAUCUUCCGCAAUGGGCGAAAGCCUGACGGAGCAACGCCGCGUGGGGGAGGACACCCUUCGGGGCGUAAACCCCUUUUCUCGGGGACGAACACAAUGACGGUACCCGAGGAAUAAGGACCGGCUAACUACGUGCCAGCAGCCGCGGUAAUAC